CCUACGGGUGGCUGCAGUCGAGGAUCUUCGGCAAUGGGCGCAAGCCUGACCGAGCGACGCCGCGUGUGCGAUGAAGGCCUUCGGGUUGUAAAGCACUGUCGAGGGGGAGAAAAGCGCAAGCUUGAUCUAUCCCUGGAGGAAGCACGGGCUAAGUUCGUGCCAGCAGCCGCGGUAAGACGAACCGUGCGAACGUUGUUCGGAAUCACUGGGCUUAAAGGGCGCGUAGGCGGGCUGCAAAGUCCGGGGUGAAAUCCUCCCGCUCAACGGGAGAACGG
Molecule: ribosomal RNA, 275 nt
Filed under: uncultured bacterium
Lineage: Bacteria
Description: partial 16S ribosomal RNA
Rfam family: Bacterial small subunit ribosomal RNA
Source: RNAcentral